GAAUUGAUGCAUCGGUCGUGCCUUAAGGGGCAUGAACUGGUGUAGCCAAUUUCUCACCUUCUGGUGAAUUGUUGAUGUUCUUAAUGGGUGUCUCAAUGAACUAGAAUUUUUUACUUUGAAAAAAUUAGAGUGUUUAAAGCAGGCAUUAAUUUGCUUGAAUACAUUAGCAUGGAAUAAUGAAAUAGGACAGUGGUUCCGUUUUGUUGGUUUCUAGGAUCACGUAAUGAUUAAUAGGGAUAGUUG
This 243-nucleotide ribosomal RNA is filed under the name uncultured Glomus. Its description in RNAcentral is "partial 18S ribosomal RNA". It matches the Rfam family "Eukaryotic small subunit ribosomal RNA", at positions 651 to 884 of the family's 1831-position model. The record is from RNAcentral. RNAcentral also lists the same sequence under 1 other name. Lineage: Eukaryota; Fungi; Glomeromycota; Glomeromycetes; Glomerales; Glomeraceae.